Molecule: ribosomal RNA, 460 nt
Filed under: uncultured bacterium
Lineage: Bacteria
Description: partial 16S ribosomal RNA
Rfam family: Bacterial small subunit ribosomal RNA
Source: RNAcentral
CCUCCGGGAGGCAGCCGUGAGGAAUAUUGGUCAAUGGACGAGAGUCUGACCCAGCCAAGUAGCGUGAAGGAUGACUGCCCUACGGGUUGUACACUUCUUUUAUAAAGGAAUAAAGUGAGGCACGUGUGCCUUUUUGUAUGUACUUUAUGAAUACGGAUCGGCUAACUCCGUGCCAGCAGCCGCGGUAAUACGGAGGAUCCGAGCGUUAUCCGGAUUUAUUGGGUUUAAAGGGAGCGUAGAUGGGUUGUUAAGUCAGUUGUGAAAGUUUGCGGCUCAACCGUAAAAUUGCAAUUGAUACUGGCAGCCUUGAGUACAGUUGAGGUAGGCGGAAUUCGUGGUGUAGCGGUGAAAUGCUUAGAUAUCACGAAGAACUCCGAUUGCGAAGGCAGCUUACUAAACUGCCACUGACAUUGAUGCUCGAAAGUGUGGGUAUCAAACAGGAUUAGAUACCCCUGUAGUC